RNAcentral lists this long non-coding RNA (860 nucleotides) under Homo sapiens (human). RNAcentral's name for it is "HSALNT0389269". The record is from RNAcentral. Lineage: Eukaryota; Metazoa; Chordata; Mammalia; Primates; Hominidae.
GGGAGUGGGGCCUCCUCCUUUCAGAUGAACACAGUUGUCUGCUGCCUCCCACGUUCCACUUCUUAAAUGAGCAUGUUUGUGCUGUAUAGGCAAGGGCAACAGAAAACGCAAAGUGUCCUUUCCAGGAGGGCCAAAGGAGGGGGGCAGGGACGCUGGGAAGAGGCGCCAAAGCGGAGGACGGCUGCAGGGGUGACUUCAGCGCUUGGCUACCAAGACCAGGUGUUUCUCUUCCUCCUGCCCUGGGUACCAUCCCACAGAGAGGCCAGGCCCACCUGCAGGUCCUCACCUCCACAGAGCCAGCCUCUCUUGAGCAGCUCCGCUCUGCCUUCUGAUACUCAUCGCCACAAGCACCUUGUCCUUCCUCGGCCUCCCACUCCCUCCCUCUGAGCCCGCGCCCUGCUCCCCUGCCUGGCGGUCAGUCGACUGCCCCGCCCCGCCUCCAAUUCAGGUGGACAGGCUUCAGCGUCCACUACCGGGGAAGAGGCAGCCCCGCACCCGUGCCUCCCCCCGCCUCUGGGCCGCUCCUUCCCAGCCUGAGCCUGACCGCAUGAGGAAGGCACAACCUCUCUGCUCCAGAGACCUGGAGAGGCCGGGAGGCCCUGUCCUGGGCAUGGAAGGCAGGAGGGAGCCCUGAGUGCGGCAGGAGGGAAGCAGCGCUUCAGGGGAAGGAUCUAAUGGCUGUGACCUGCGUGGGCUGCAGUAUGUUGUUCUGCUUGAAGCAGAUGAAGGAAAUCCAGCCUCACACAGAUAUGUUGCUCAAGGGCAGACCCUGCACACUCCCUGAAAGGGCCCUAGGGAACCAAAGAUCACACUUUGAGAACUGCUGCUCUUGAGGCAAGACUGGAUUAAAUUUAAAGGCA